ACGCUCGACACCUACGGGAGGCGGCAGUGGGGAAUAUUGCACAAUGGGGGAAACCCUGAUGCAGCAACGCCGCGUGAAGGAAGACGGUUUUCGGAUUGUAAACUUCUGUUCUUAGUGAAGAUAGUGACGGUAGCUAAGGAGCAAGCCACGGCUAACUACGUGCCAGCAGCCGCGGUAAUCUGAGCGGGCUGGCAAGGC
RNAcentral lists this ribosomal RNA (198 nucleotides) under uncultured bacterium. RNAcentral's name for it is "partial 16S ribosomal RNA". It matches the Rfam family "Bacterial small subunit ribosomal RNA", at positions 328 to 539 of the family's 1533-position model. The record is from RNAcentral.